This 253-nucleotide ribosomal RNA is filed under the name uncultured bacterium. RNAcentral's name for it is "partial 16S ribosomal RNA". It matches the Rfam family "Bacterial small subunit ribosomal RNA", at positions 524 to 776 of the family's 1533-position model. The record is from RNAcentral.
UACGUAGGUGGCAAGCGUUGUCCGGAUUUACUGGGCGUAAAGGGCGUGCAGGCGGUCUGUUAAGUCUAGGGUGAAAGCUCCCGGCUCAACUGGGAGAGGUCCUUGGAUACUGGCGGACUUGAGGGAGGCAGAGGAAAGUGGAAUUCCCGGUGUAGUGGUGAUAUGCGUAGAUAUCGGGAGGAACACCAAUGGCGAAGGCGGCCUUCUGGGCCUUAACUGACGCUGAGGAGCGAAAGCGUGGGGAGCGAACCGG